This 277-nucleotide ribosomal RNA is filed under the name Escherichia coli. Its description in RNAcentral is "partial 23S ribosomal RNA". It matches the Rfam family "Bacterial large subunit ribosomal RNA", at positions 1273 to 1553 of the family's 2925-position model. Lineage: Bacteria; Pseudomonadati; Pseudomonadota; Gammaproteobacteria; Enterobacterales; Enterobacteriaceae. The record is from RNAcentral.
CUGGAGGUAUCAGAAGUGCGAAUGCUGACAUAAGUAACGAUAAAGCGGGUGAAAAGCCCGCUCGCCGGAAGACCAAGGGUUCCUGUCCAACGUUAAUCGGGGCAGGGUGAGUCGACCCCUAAGGCGAGGCCGAAAGGCGUAGUCGAUGGGAAACAGGUUAAUAUUCCUGUACUUGGUGUUACUGCGAAGGGGGGACGGAGAAGGCUAUGUUGGCCGGGCGACGGUUGUCCCGGUUUAAGCGUGUAGGCUGGUUUUCCAGGCAAAUCCGGAAAAUCAA